RNAcentral lists this ribosomal RNA (374 nucleotides) under uncultured organism. Its description in RNAcentral is "partial 16S ribosomal RNA". It matches the Rfam family "Bacterial small subunit ribosomal RNA", at positions 527 to 897 of the family's 1533-position model. The record is from RNAcentral.
GUAGGUGGCAAGCGUUGUCCGGAAUUAUUGGGCGUAAAGCGCGCGCAGGCGGUCCUUUAAGUCUGAUGUGAAAGCCCACGGGCUCAACCGUGGAGGGACAUUGGAAACUGGGGGACUUGAGUACAGAAGAGGAAAGCGGAAUUCCAAGUGUAGCGGUGAAAUGCGUAGAGAUUUGGAGGAACACCAGUGGCGAAGGCGGCUUUCUGGUCUGUAACUGACGCUGAGGCGCGAAAGCGUGGGGAGCAAACAGGAUUAGAUACCCUGGUAGUCCACGCCGUAAACGAUGAGUGCUAAGUGUUAGGGGGUUUCCGCCCCUUAGUGCUGCAGCUAACGCAUUAAGCACUCCGCCUGGGGAGUACGGCCGCAAAGGCUGA